CAUGUAGGCGGGCUCCCAAGUCGGACGUGAAAUCUCUCGGCUUAACUGAGAGGGGUCGUUCGAUACUAGGAGUCUUGAGGGCAGGAGAGGGGAGUAGAAUUCCCGGUGUAGUGGUGGAAUACGUAGAUAUCGGGAGGAAUACCAGUGGCGAAGGCGGCUCCCUGGCCUGUGCCUGACGCUGAGAUGCGAAAGCGUGGGUAGCGAACG
RNAcentral lists this ribosomal RNA (207 nucleotides) under uncultured bacterium. RNAcentral's name for it is "partial 16S ribosomal RNA". It matches the Rfam family "Bacterial small subunit ribosomal RNA", at positions 568 to 774 of the family's 1533-position model. The record is from RNAcentral.